Long non-coding RNA from Populus euphratica (Euphrates poplar), 819 nucleotides. RefSeq lists it as uncharacterized. Lineage: Eukaryota; Viridiplantae; Streptophyta; Magnoliopsida; Malpighiales; Salicaceae. The transcript is spliced from 3 exons. The record is from RefSeq and is a predicted model, not a curated record.
ACCUUGGCUUCCUCUAAUAUAUACAGAAAUAUUGAUGAUUGGCAUCAAGAACUUCAAUAGGAAAAAGCUAAAAUAAAAUCUCUCAAAAGUUUAAUGAAGGUUAGCUUGGAAUCGUGAUGAGAUGAGGGGAGGAGCUCAAAUUCUAGUGGAAGCAUUCCACACACCGAAGGCCCUCUUUGAUGACCUUUUCAUCGAAUUCUUCAAGGUCAAAUUGGUGCUUUGGCUAAUUGAUCACUUGAAAGCAUGAUGAUUAUUUAACAUCAACCAGAUGGGUGUUUGGUGACCGAGUGAUGUAGUCGUGCUUGUAGAAAUUGAAGGUUGCAAACAUUAAGGCAAAGAUUAUGGAGCGGGGUGUGGUCAAUGAGGGGAUAAGAAGGCUUCUAUUUAGACGAGAAAUGUCCAGGUGCUCAACAUUCAGGACAUGCAAAUGCAAAUCAUAGAGUUGACCUGCAGGUUAAAAGAGAUGGACUUAUUAGGCUAAAACCAAAACCAAGAGUGUGAUCAUUGGUCAUUGAGUAGUACUGAAAAUAAAAAAAGUCAACAUCUCAAGCUAGAAGAGAUCAGAUUUAGGGAUUAUAAUGUUCUUGUCAAGAUUCCUGAGUUUGUUGGAAGUUUGCAGACAGAGGAAUUCAUAGACUAGUUGAACAAAGUUGAGAUGAAUUUUUUAGUACAAUGAGGUUUUGAGUAAACAUGAGUUAAGAUAAUCACAAUCAUACUAAAUAGUCGGUUAUCUUCUAGUGGGAACAAUUAAAGAAGAUGCAAAAGAGGCAAGGAAAGCCAAAAACCAAUGAUUAGGUCAAGAUGAUAAAAAGAAGAUAA